UCUCACAGCGGAAAGGGGGCGUUUCUAGUCGUGCCCCCAUGUGUACUAUGGCCUACGGUGUCCCAAAGGCCGCUUUUAUUAUCCGUAAAGUUUGUUUCACAGAAACCCUGGUAACCCUCACCGAAACAGACGCAUGUAUGAAUUUGCGCCGUCAUCACAAUAUCGUGCUGUGCUGAGUGGUGCCGAAAUUCUUCACGCCACACCGGACAUAAAAUUCUUUCGGAUCCCGGCGGACCAAAGAUCACGCGCCUGGCUACAGUAUGCGAGAAGGAGGACCUGGCUCAUUUACCACCUCGUCAGAUCUACAGCAGCUACCGGCCCAUUUCACCAGCAGAGACUACGCGGAGCAGAGACUACGCGGACCCUGGACAGACAAGGCUUCUAAGAUGUGCCGUGCCAACAGUUCCCAUCUUUUGCGAAGGGCAGAGACGUCGAAAUGUCCAAGUGGGAGUACUGUAAUGUGAACAUACAACUAUAGUAUGACAUAAAGGCGGAGGAGUUGGACCGUA
Long non-coding RNA from Rhipicephalus microplus (southern cattle tick), 509 nucleotides. RefSeq lists it as uncharacterized. The record is from RefSeq and is a predicted model, not a curated record. NCBI's taxonomy places the organism in Eukaryota, Metazoa, Arthropoda, Arachnida, Ixodida, Ixodidae.